RNAcentral lists this ribosomal RNA (253 nucleotides) under uncultured bacterium. Its description in RNAcentral is "partial 16S ribosomal RNA". It matches the Rfam family "Bacterial small subunit ribosomal RNA", at positions 524 to 776 of the family's 1533-position model. The record is from RNAcentral.
UACAGAGGGGGCAAGCGUUGUUCGGAAUUACUGGGCGUAAAGGGCGCGUAGGCGGCCAUCUAAGUCGAACGUGAAAUCCCCGGGCUCAACCCGGGGACUGCGUCCGAUACUGGUUGGCUUGAAUCCGGGAGAGGGAUGCGGAAUUCCAGGUGUAGCGGUGAAAUGCGUAGAUAUCUGGAGGAACACCGGUGGCGAAGGCGGCAUCCUGGACCGGCAUUGACGCUGAGGCGCGAAAGCCAGGGGAGCAAACGGG